RNAcentral lists this ribosomal RNA (471 nucleotides) under uncultured bacterium. Its description in RNAcentral is "bacterial SSU rRNA". It matches the Rfam family "Bacterial small subunit ribosomal RNA", at positions 28 to 508 of the family's 1533-position model. The record is from RNAcentral.
GAUGAACGCUAGCGGCAGGCCUAAUACAUGCAAGUCGAACGGGCCAGCAAUGGUCAGUGGCGCACGGGUGCGUAACGCGUAUGCAACCUACCUUCUACUGGGGGAUAGCCUUCCGAAAGGAAGAUUAAUACCGCAUAACAUCACAUGAGGGCAUCUGAGUGUGAUCAAAGAUUUAUUGGUAGAAGAUGGGCAUGCGUGACAUUAGCUAGUUGGUGCAGGUAACGGCUCACCAAGGCUACGAUGUCUAGGGGUUCUGAGAGGAUGAUCCCCCACACUGGUACUGAGAUACGGACCAGACUCCUACGGGAGGCAGCAGUAGGGAAUAUUGGGCAAUGGGCGCAAGCCUGACCCAGCCAUGCCGCGUGCAGGAUGAAGGCCUUCUGGGUUGUAAACUGCUUUUAUCAGGGAAGAAAAAGCUCCUGCGGGAGCAACUGACGGUACCUGAGGAAUAAGCACCGGCUAACUCCGUGC